This 427-nucleotide ribosomal RNA is filed under the name uncultured bacterium. RNAcentral describes it as "bacterial SSU rRNA". It matches the Rfam family "Bacterial small subunit ribosomal RNA", at positions 355 to 796 of the family's 1533-position model. The record is from RNAcentral.
CCGAGAAUAUUCGACAAUGGGCGAAAGCCUGAUCGAGCGAUACCGCGUGGUGGAUGAAGCGCUUCGGCGCGUAAACAUCUUUUAUGGAGGAGGAAGUCAUUGACGUUACUCCAUGAAUAAGGGGCUCCUAACUCUGUGCCAGCAGGAGCGGUAAUACAGAGGCCCCAAGCGUUACCCGGAAUUACUGGGCGUAAAGAGUGCGUAGGUGGUCGUGUUAGUCGUCCGUCAAAACCCAGGGCUCAACCCUGGAUCCGCGGGCGAAACGGCACGACUUGAGGGCGUGAGAGGUGCAUAGAACUCAUGGUGUAGGGGUGAAAUCCGUUGAUAUCAUGGGGAAUACCGAAAGCGAAGGCAGUGCACUGGCGCGUUCCUGACACUCAAGCACGAAAGCGUGGGUAGCGAACGGGAUUAGAUACCCCUGUAGUCC